GAUGAACGCUGGCGGCGUGCCUAAUACAUGCAAGUAGAACGCUGAAGCUUGGUGCUUGCACCGAGCGGAUGAGUUGCGAACGGGUGAGUAACGCGUAGGUAACCUGCCUCUUAGCGGGGGAUAACUAUUGGAAACGAUAGCUAAUACCGCAUAAAAGUCGACAUCGCAUGAUGUUGACUUGAAAGGUGCAAUUGCAUCACUAAGAGAUGGACCUGCGUUGUAUUAGCUAGUUGGUGAGGUAACGGCUCACCAAGGCGACGAUACAUAGCCGACCUGAGAGGGUGAUCGGCCACACUGGGACGGAGACACGGCCCAGACUCCUACGGGAGGCAGCAGUAGGGAAUCUUCGGCAAUGGGGGCAACCCUGACCGAGCAACGCCGCGUGAGUGAAGAAGGUUUUCGGAUCGUAAAGCUCUGUUGUAAGAGAAGAACGAGUGUGAGAGUGGAAAGUUCACACUGUGACGGUAACUUACCAGAAAGGGACGGCUAACUACGUG
Molecule: ribosomal RNA, 497 nt
Filed under: uncultured bacterium
Lineage: Bacteria
Description: partial 16S ribosomal RNA
Rfam family: Bacterial small subunit ribosomal RNA
Source: RNAcentral